This 776-nucleotide ribosomal RNA is filed under the name uncultured bacterium. RNAcentral's name for it is "bacterial SSU rRNA". It matches the Rfam family "Bacterial small subunit ribosomal RNA", at positions 28 to 805 of the family's 1533-position model. The record is from RNAcentral.
GAUGAACUCUGGCGGCGUGCUUAACACAUGCAAGUCGAACGGGAAUUACUUUAUUGAAACUUCGGUCGAUUUAAUUUAAUUCUAGUGGCGGACGGGUGAGUAACGCGUGGGUAACCUGCCUUAUACAGGGGGAUAACAGUCAGAAAUGGCUGCUAAUACCGCAUAAGCGCACAGAGCUGCAUGGCUCAGUGUGAAAAACUCCGGUGGUAUAAGAUGGACCCGCGUUGGAUUAGCUAGUUGGUGGGGUAACGGCCCACCAAGGCGACGAUCCAUAGCCGGCCUGAGAGGGUGAACGGCCACGUUGGGACUGAGACACGGCCCACACUCCUACGGGAGGCAGCAGUGGGGAAUAUUGCACGAUGGAGGGAAACCCUGAUGCACCGACGCCGCGUGAAGGAAGAAGUAUCUCGGUAUGUAAACUUCUAUCAGCAGGGAAGAUAGUGACGGUACCUGACUAAGAAGCCCCGGCUAACUACGUGCCAGCAGCCGCGGUAAUACGUAGGGGCAAGCGUUAUCCGGAUUUACUGGGUGUAAAGGGAGCGUAGACGGUGUGGCAAGUCUGAUGUGAAAGGCAUGGGCUCAACCUGUGGACUGCUUUCAAAACUGCUGGCCUUGAGUAGUGCAGAGGUAGGUGGAAUUCCCGGUGUAGCGGUGGAAUGCGUAGAUAUCGGGAGGAACACCAGUGGCGAAGGCGACCUACUGGGCACCAACUGACGCUGAGGCUCGAAAGCAUGGGUAGCAAACAGGAUUAGAUACCCUGGUAGUCCAUGCCGUAA